Molecule: ribosomal RNA, 1347 nt
Filed under: uncultured bacterium
Lineage: Bacteria
Description: bacterial SSU rRNA
Rfam family: Bacterial small subunit ribosomal RNA
Source: RNAcentral
GACGAACGCUGGCGGCGUGCUUAACACAUGCAAGUCGAACGAUGAAGCGGUGCUUGCACCGUGGAUUAGUGGCGAACGGGUGAGUAAUACGUGAGUGACCUACCUUUGACUCUGGGAUAAGCCUGGGAAACUGGGUCUAAUACCGGAUACGACCAACCUCUGCAUGGGGUGUUGGUGGAAAGCGUUAUGGAGUGGUUUUAGAUGGGCUCACGGCCUAUCAGCUUGUUGGUGAGGUAAUGGCUUACCAAGGCGACGACGGGUAGCCGGCCUGAGAGGGUGACCGGCCACACUGGGACUGAGACACGGCCCAGACUCCUACGGGAGGCAGCAGUGGGGAAUAUUGCACAAUGGGCGCAAGCCUGAUGCAGCGACGCCGCGUGAGGGAUGACGGCCUUCGGGUUGUAAACCUCUGUUAGCAUCGAAGAAGCGAAAGUGACGGUAGGUGCAGAGAAAGCGCCGGCUAACUACGUGCCAGCAGCCGCGGUAAUACGUAGGGCGCGAGCGUUGUCCGGAAUUAUUGGGCGUAAAGAGCUUGUAGGGCGGUUGGUCGCGUCUGCUGUGAAAGGCCGGGGCUUAACUCCGGUUUCGCAGUGGGUACGGGCUAACUAGAGUGCAGUAGGGGAGACUGGAAUUCCUGGUGUAGCGGUGGAAUGCACAGAUAUCAGGAGGAACACCGAUGGCGAAGGCAGGUCUCUGGGCUGUAACUGACGCUGAGAAGCGAAAGCAUGGGGAGCGAACAGGAUUAGAUACCCUGGUAGUCCAUGCCGUAAACGUUGGGCACUAGGUGUGGGGGACAUUCCACGUUUUCCGCGCCGUAGCUAACGCAUUAAGUGCCCCGCCUGGGGAGUACGGCCGCAAGGCUAAAACUCAAAGGAAUUGACGGGGGCCCGCACAAGCGGCGGAGCAUGCGGAUUAAUUCGAUGCAACGCGAAGAACCUUACCAAGGCUUGACAUGCAUUAGAUCGCGUCAGAGAUGGCGUUUCCCUUCGGGGCUGGUGUACAGGUGGUGCAUGGUUGUCGUCAGCUCGUGUCGUGAGAUGUUGGGUUAAGUCCCGCAACGAGCGCAACCCUCGUUCUAUGUUGCCAGCGGUUCGGCCGGGGACUCAUAGGAGACUGCCGGGGUCAACUCGGAGGAAGGUGGGGAUGACGUCAAAUCAUCAUGCCCCUUAUGUCUUGGGCUUCACGCAUGCUACAAUGGCCGGUACAGAGGGUUGCGAUACUGUGAGGUGGAGCUAAUCCCUUAAAGCCGGUCUCAGUUCGGAUUGGGGUCUGCAACUCGACCCCAUGAAGUCGGAGUCGCUAGUAAUCGCAGAUCAGCAACGCUGCGGUGAAUACGUUCCCGGGCCU